This 501-nucleotide ribosomal RNA is filed under the name uncultured bacterium. Its description in RNAcentral is "partial 16S ribosomal RNA". It matches the Rfam family "Bacterial small subunit ribosomal RNA", at positions 30 to 523 of the family's 1533-position model. The record is from RNAcentral.
AUUGAACGCUGGCGGCAGGCUUAACACAUGCAAGUCGAGCGGGGGAGGUUGCUUCGGUAACUGACCUAGCGGCGGACGGGUGAGUAAUGCUUAGGAAUCUGCCUAUUAGUGGGGGACAACAUUCCGAAAGGGAUGCUAAUACCGCAUACGCCCUACGGGGGAAAGCAGGGGAUCUUCGGACCUUGCGCUAAUAGAUGAGCCUAAGUCGGAUUAGCUAGUUGGUGGGGUAAAGGCCUACCAAGGCGACGAUCUGUAGCGGGUCUGAGAGGAUGAUCCGCCACACUGGGACUGAGACACGGCCCAGACUCCUACGGGAGGCAGCAGUGGGGAAUAUUGGACAAUGGGCGGAAGCCUGAUCCAGCCAUGCCGCGUGUGUGAAGAAGGCCUUUUGGUUGUAAAGCACUUUAAGCGAGGAGGAGGCUCUUAAGGUUAGUACCCUUGAUGAGUGGACGUUACUCGCAGAAUAAGCACCGGCUAACUCUGUGCCAGCCGCCGCCGUAA